Non-coding RNA from Salmo salar (Atlantic salmon), 72 nucleotides. The record is from Rfam. Lineage: Eukaryota; Metazoa; Chordata; Actinopteri; Salmoniformes; Salmonidae.
UCCCAUGUGGCUCAGUUGGUAGAGCAUCGUGUUUGCAAUGCCAGGGUUGUGGGUUCGAUUCCCACGGGGGAC